GAAAACCCGAACCUUGUACGGCGAUCCUGAAAACACAAUAAAUACAUUUGAGGGCACAGCAACACAUCAUAUUCCCCUUUGAAACAAAAUAGUCACAUGCAUUUUUUUCAUAGGCUUCAGCUUCUACAUGGCUGUGUCUUCACACAGCUGCUGGAUUUGUAACAAUGUAUAGCCUAGAUAAAAGUGCAGCCUGGUCACAGAAGUAGUCGCUUCUUCUGCUACUCCAGUUGUUAAUGGAGUUCUUCAUAAUUUUAAAAUGUAGGGCCUAUCCUUAGGAUAUGCCACCAAUAUAGAUUGUGGGGGCGGACUACCUGCACCCCCACCAAUCAGCUGUUUAAAAAGGGUGCAUACAGUGGUUCAUACUGCAAACACUAUACUUUUUGUUGUGGCUGUGCUUGGUAUUGCAGCUUUCUCCAACUCACCUUCCACAAAGAUCAAACUGCUGAUCGGGGGUUGGACCCCCAGGGAUCUAAUAUUAAAGGGCUUAUCCGAUAUCUAAAAUAUCCCCCUCAAUGCCCAGACCCCUUGUAUGGAUUAUACUUACCUGCUCCCCAGCAACAGCGUCUCUCCGGAUCUCUGCAGGGCUGCCGCUGCAUUUCCCUGGCGCUCGGCUCAAAACAUAUGGCGACGGGGGGAGCUGCCAAUAGCAGGCCGCGACAGGGAUGAGCCCCCUUGAGGUUGGUCACUGUCUAUUGGCUGCUCCCCCCAUCGCUAGAGGUUUUGAUCCAAACGAAGGGGAGAUGCAGCGGCGGCCGUGCAGGGAUCCAGAGGGAGGUGGGUGCCAUACAAGGGGGGGUCCGGGGAUUGGGGGGAUAUUUCAGAUAUUGGAUAACCCCUUUAAUCGUAUGUCAACAGCAUACCAAGUACAGUGCCGUACACUGUAUAGUGGCAGUACUUGGUACUGCAGCCCUGGCCCUUUCACAUGAAAUGGACUGAGCAACAUAAAGGCCACGAGACUGAUGAACAUGACAUCACUGACCUAGGAGUGCUUUGGCCUUUUCAAACAGCUGAUCAGUGGGGAUGCUGGGAGUCUAACCCGAAAAAUCUGAUCCUGAUGAUCUAUCCCGAGGACGGUCAUCAAUAUUCUACUCCCAGAAAACCUCUGUGAAGGGAUGUUGUGCACCUUUGGUGGAAAGCCCCCCUCUAUGGCAGACUUUUAAAAAGGAAGAAUACAUACCUGCUUCCUGGCCUCAGCUUCUUCAAUUGACUGCGGCGGCAUCAAAACAGCAGCGAGCUGAGAGGAGAAGCCGAGGCCGGGAAGUGAGGGAGCCAGCGACAGGAUGCAGCCAAGUAUGCUUUCCCCUUCAGUGGUUUGCCAAACCCCCCAAAAGGUGCACAACGCCUUUAAACAAAAGAAUGCAUUUAAUCUAAUUAUUGAGUAAUAAAAAAAGGUUUCAAAGUAAUGAGUAAAGAACAUAUACAUACUUUUUAGCUCAAGGUGAUGGUAACAAAUGAGACCAUACAUCUCACUAAUCCAUGUAUAAAACAUGCUAAGUGCUACAAAUUCACUCACAGCUCUAGCUGCUAUAUUAACAUACCACCAAAGCAAACAGACAUUAGAAAUUCCAUGCAAAAGGGUUAGAGUAGUUU
Molecule: long non-coding RNA, 1590 nt
Organism: Bufo bufo (common toad)
Lineage: Eukaryota; Metazoa; Chordata; Amphibia; Anura; Bufonidae
Exons: 2
Source: RefSeq, a predicted model, not a curated record